This 75-nucleotide transfer RNA is filed under the name Candidatus Woesearchaeota archaeon. RNAcentral describes it as "tRNA-Lys". It matches the Rfam family "tRNA". From Rfam's summary of the family: Transfer RNA (tRNA) molecules are approximately 80 nucleotides in length. Their secondary structure includes four short double-helical elements and three loops (D, anti-codon, and T loops). Further hydrogen bonds mediate the characteristic L-shaped molecular structure. tRNAs have two regions of fundamental functional importance: the anti-codon, which is responsible for specific mRNA codon recognition, and the 3' end, to which the tRNAs corresponding amino acid is attached (by aminoacyl-tRNA synthetases). tRNAs cope with the degeneracy of the genetic code in two manners: having more than one tRNA (with a specific anti-codon) for a particular amino acid; and 'wobble' base-pairing, i.e. permitting non-standard base-pairing at the 3rd anti-codon position. Lineage: Archaea; Nanobdellati; Candidatus Woesearchaeota. The record is from RNAcentral.
GGGCUCAUAGCUCAGCCUGGCUAGAGCGCUCGGCUCUUAACCGAGAGGUCGCGGGUUCGAAUCCUGUUGGGCCCA